GACGAACGCUGGCGGCGUGCUUAACACAUGCAAGUCGAACGGAAAGGCCCUGCUUUUGUGGGGUGCUCGAGUGGCGAACGGGUGAGUAACACGUGAGUAACCUGCCCUUGACUUUGGGAUAACUUCAGGAAACUGGGGCUAAUACCGGAUAGGAGCUCCUGCUGCAUGGUGGGGGUUGGAAAGUUUCGGCGGUUGGGGAUGGACUCGCGGCUUAUCAGCUUGUUGGUGGGGUAGUGGCUUACCAAGGCUUUGACGGGUAGCCGGCCUGAGAGGGUGACCGGCCACAUUGGGACUGAGAUACGGCCCAGACUCCUACGGGAGGCAGCAGUGGGGAAUAUUGCACAAUGGGCGGAAGCCUGAUGCAGCAACGCCGCGUGCGGGAUGACGGCCUUCGGGUUGUAAACCGCUUUCGCCUGUGACGAAGCGUGAGUGACGGUAAUGGGUAAAGAAGCACCGGCUAACUACGUGCCAGCAGCCGCGGUGAUACGUAGGGUGCGAGCGUUGUCCGGAUUUAUUGGUCGUAAAGGGCUCGUAGGUGGUUGAUCGCGUCGGAAGUGUAAUCUUGGGGCUUAACCCUGAGCGUGCUUUCGAUACGGGUUGACUUGAGGAAGGUAGGGGAGAAUGGAAUUCCUGGUGGAGCGGUGGAAUGCGCAGAUAUCAGGAGGAACACCAGUGGCGAAGGCGGUUCUCUGGGCCUUUCCUGACGCUGAGGAGCGAAAGCGUGGGGAGCGAACAGGCUUAGAUACCCUGGUAGUCCACGCUGUAAACGGUGGGUACUAGGUGUGGGGUCCAUUCCACGGGUUCCGUGCCGUAGCUAACGCUUUAAGUACCCCGCCUGGGGAGUACGGCCGCAAGGCUAAAACUCAAAGGAAUUGACGGGGCCCCGCACAAGCGGCGGAGCAUGCGGAUUAAUUCGAUGCAACGCGUAGAACCUUACCUGGGUUUGACAUGGAUCGGGAGCGCUCAGAGAUGGGUGUGCCUCUUUUGGGGUCGGUUCACAGGUGGUGCAUGGCUGACGUCAGCUCGUGUCGUGAGAUGUUGGGUUAAGUCCCGCAACGAGCGCAACCCUUGUUCACUGUUGCCAGCACGUUAUGGUGGGGACUCAGUGGAGACCGCCGGGGUCAACUCGGAGGAAGGUGGGGAUGAUGUCAAGUCAUCAUGCCCCUUAUGUCCAGGGCUUCACGCAUGCUACAAUGGCUGGUACAGAGAGUGGCGAGCCUGUGAGGGUGAGCGAAUCUCGGAAAGCCGGUCUCAGUUCGGAUUGGGGUCUGCAACUCGACCUCAUGAAGUCGGAGUCGCUAGUAAUCGCAGAUCAGCAACGCUGCGGUGAAUACGUUCCCGGG
Molecule: ribosomal RNA, 1343 nt
Filed under: uncultured bacterium
Lineage: Bacteria
Description: 16S ribosomal RNA
Rfam family: Bacterial small subunit ribosomal RNA
Source: RNAcentral